CCUACGGGUGGCAGCAGUGGGGAAUAUUGGACAAUGGGGGGAACCCUGAUCCAGCGACGCCGCGUGAGUGAAGAAGUAUUUCGGUAUGUAAAGCUCUAUCAGCAGAGAAGAAAAUGACGGUACCUGACUAAGAAGCCCCGGCUAACUACGUGCCAGCAGCCGCGGUAAUACGGAGGGGGCAAGCGUUAUCCGGAUUUACUGGGUGUAAAGGGAGCGUAGACGGUGCAGCAAGUCAGAUGUGAAAUGUCGGGGCAGAACCCCGGGACUGCAUUGGAAACUGUUGAACUGGAGUACAGGAGAGGUAAGUGGAAUUCCUGGUGUAGCGGUGAAAUGCGUAGAGAUUAGGAGGAAUACGCGUGGCGAAGGCGGCUUACUAGACUGUAACUGACGUUGAUGCUCGAAAGCGUGGGGAGCAAACAGGACUAGAUACCCUGGUAGUC
This 440-nucleotide ribosomal RNA is filed under the name uncultured bacterium. RNAcentral's name for it is "partial 16S ribosomal RNA". It matches the Rfam family "Bacterial small subunit ribosomal RNA", at positions 338 to 795 of the family's 1533-position model. The record is from RNAcentral.